CACGUAGGGGGCAAGCGUUGUCCGGAUUUAUUGGGCGUAAAGCGCUCGCAGGUGGUUCGUUGCGUCGUGCGUGAAAGACCCCGGCUCAACUGGGGAGGGUCGUGCGAUACGGGCGGACUGGAGGCCAGUAGGGGGAUGCGGAAUUCCGGGUGUAGUGGUGGAAUGCGUAGAGAUCCGGAGGAACACCAGCGGCGAAGGCGGCAUCCUGGACUGGUCCUGACACUCAGGAGCGAAAGCGUGGGGAGCGAUCCGG
RNAcentral lists this ribosomal RNA (253 nucleotides) under uncultured bacterium. Its description in RNAcentral is "partial 16S ribosomal RNA". It matches the Rfam family "Bacterial small subunit ribosomal RNA", at positions 524 to 776 of the family's 1533-position model. The record is from RNAcentral.